This 314-nucleotide ribosomal RNA is filed under the name uncultured bacterium. RNAcentral describes it as "partial 16S ribosomal RNA". It matches the Rfam family "Bacterial small subunit ribosomal RNA", at positions 495 to 807 of the family's 1533-position model. The record is from RNAcentral.
GUAUAAGAGACAGCAGUAGCCGCGGUAAUACGGAGGGUGCAAGCGUUAAUCGGAAUUACUGGGCGUAAAGCGCACGCAGGCGGUCUGUCAAGUCGGAUGUGAAAUCCCCGGGCUCAACCUGGGAACUGCAUUCGAAACUGGCAGGCUAGAGUCUUGUAGAGGGGGGUAGAAUUCCAGGUGUAGCGGUGAAAUGCGUAGAGAUCUGGAGGAAUACCGGUGGCGAAGGCGGCCCCCUGGACAAAGACUGACGCUCAGGUGCGAAAGCGUGGGGAGCAAACAGGAUUAGAUACCCGAGUAGUCCCUGUCUCUUAUAC